This 656-nucleotide ribosomal RNA is filed under the name Enterobacter sp. GA35-2. RNAcentral describes it as "bacterial SSU rRNA". It matches the Rfam family "Bacterial small subunit ribosomal RNA", at positions 169 to 820 of the family's 1533-position model. The record is from RNAcentral. Lineage: Bacteria; Pseudomonadati; Pseudomonadota; Gammaproteobacteria; Enterobacterales; Enterobacteriaceae.
CCGCAUAACGUCGCAAGACCAAAGAGGGGGACCUUCGGGCCUCUUGCCAUCAGAUGUGCCCAGAUGGGAUUAGCUAGUAGGUGGGGUAAUGGCUCACCUAGGCGACGAUCCCUAGCUGGUCUGAGAGGAUGACCAGCCACACUGGAACUGAGACACGGUCCAGACUCCUACGGGAGGCAGCAGUGGGGAAUAUUGCACAAUGGGCGCAAGCCUGAUGCAGCCAUGCCGCGUGUAUGAAGAAGGCCUUCGGGUUGUAAAGUACUUUCAGCGGGGAGGAAGGCGACACGGUUAAUAACCGUGUCGAUUGACGUUACCCGCAGAAGAAGCACCGGCUAACUCCGUGCCAGCAGCCGCGGUAAUACGGAGGGUGCAAGCGUUAAUCGGAAUUACUGGGCGUAAAGCGCACGCAGGCGGUCUGUCAAGUCGGAUGUGAAAUCCCCGGGCUCAACCUGGGAACUGCAUUCGAAACUGACAGGCUAGAGUCUUGUAGAGGGGGGUAGAAUUCCAGGUGUAGCGGUGAAAUGCGUAGAGAUCUGGAGGAAUACCGGUGGCGAAGGCGGCCACCUGGACAAAGACUGACGCUCAGGUGCGAAAGCGUGGGGAGCAAACAGGAUUAGAUANCCUGGUAGUCCACGCUGUAAACGAUGUCGACUUGG